This 371-nucleotide ribosomal RNA is filed under the name uncultured organism. RNAcentral's name for it is "bacterial SSU rRNA". It matches the Rfam family "Bacterial small subunit ribosomal RNA", at positions 526 to 896 of the family's 1533-position model. The record is from RNAcentral.
CGUAGGGUGCAGGCGUUAAUCGGAAUUACUGGGCGUAAAGCGUGCGCAGGCGGUUUCUUAAGUCAGAUGUGAAAGCCCCGGGCUUAACCUGGGAACUGCGUUUGAAACUGGGAGACUAGAGUGUGGCAGAGGGGGGUGGAAUUCCACGUGUAGCAGUGAAAUGCGUAGAUAUGUGGAGGAACACCGAUGGCGAAGGCAGCCCCCUGGGUUAACACUGACGCUCAUGCACGAAAGCGUGGGGAGCAAACAGGAUUAGAUACCCUGGUAGUCCACGCCCUAAACUAUGUCAAAUGGUUGCCGGGGGAUUAACUCCCUUGGUAACGAAGCUAACGCGUGAAGUUGACCGCCUGGGGAGUACGGCCGCAAGGUUA